UACGGAGGGUGCAAGCAUUAAUCGGAUUUAUUGGGCGUAAAGGGCGCGUAGGCGGGAAGAUAAGUCAGAUGUGAAAGCCCAGGGCUCAACCCUGGAACGGCAUUUGAAACUGUCUUUCUAGAGGGUAGGCGGAGAAAACAGAAUUCCACGUGUAGCGGUGAAAUGCGUAGAUAUGUGGAGGAAUACCGGUGGCGAAAGCGGUUUUCUAGCUUAUUCCUGACGCUAAUGCGCGAAAGCAAGGGGAGCAAACAGG
RNAcentral lists this ribosomal RNA (253 nucleotides) under uncultured prokaryote. RNAcentral describes it as "partial 16S ribosomal RNA". It matches the Rfam family "Bacterial small subunit ribosomal RNA", at positions 524 to 776 of the family's 1533-position model. The record is from RNAcentral.